CAUGCAUGCCCGCUCACCCGGGACGCGGCGGACGGCUCAGGACGACGGUUGCACCCCCCGCGGCGGUCCCUGCUAGCCGGACACCGCUGGCAACCCGGCGCCAAGACGUGCGCGCAAGGGCGAGCGCCCGCGGGCGAGCAGCGUGACGCAGCGACGGCCCGCCCGGGCUUCCGGGGCAUCACCCGGUCGGCGCG
Molecule: ribosomal RNA, 194 nt
Filed under: Giardia duodenalis
Lineage: Eukaryota; Fornicata; Diplomonadida; Hexamitidae
Description: Giardia intestinalis partial small subunit ribosomal RNA
Source: RNAcentral